GACGAACGCUGGCGGCGUGCUUAACACAUGCAAGUCGAACGGAAAGGCCCUGCUUUUGUGGGGUGCUCGAGUGGCGAACGGGUGAGUAACACGUGAGUAACCUGCCCUUGUCUUUGGGAUAACUUCAGGAAACUGGGGCUAAUACCGGAUAGGAGCUCCUGCUGCAUGGUGGGGGUUGGAAAGUGUCGGCGGUUGGGGAUGGACUCGCGGCUUAUCAGCUUGUUGGUGGGGUAGUGGCUUACCAAGGCUUUGACGGGUAGCCGGCCUGGGAGGGUGACCGGCCACAUUGGGACUGAGAUACGGCCCAGACUCCUACGGGAGGCAGCAGUGGGGAAUAUUGCACAAUGGGCGGAAGCCUGAUGCAGCAACGCCGCGUGCGGGAUGACGGCCUUCGGGUUGUAAACCGCUUUCGCCUGUGACGAAGCGUGAGUGACGGUAAUGGGUAAAGAAGCACCGGCUAACUACGUG
RNAcentral lists this ribosomal RNA (468 nucleotides) under uncultured bacterium. RNAcentral's name for it is "partial 16S ribosomal RNA". It matches the Rfam family "Bacterial small subunit ribosomal RNA", at positions 28 to 507 of the family's 1533-position model. The record is from RNAcentral.